RNAcentral lists this ribosomal RNA (639 nucleotides) under Triticum aestivum (bread wheat). RNAcentral describes it as "partial small subunit ribosomal RNA". The record is from RNAcentral. Lineage: Eukaryota; Viridiplantae; Streptophyta; Magnoliopsida; Poales; Poaceae.
AUGACUCGAAUACGCCAGACGCGACUCGAGGUCCAGGCGAAAAAGCCACCCCCAGCUGCUUCACUCAACGUAAAGGAGAUAAAAGGAUCUUCGGAAGUUUUCCCAGACUAUUGCUUCGAGUUUGCUACCAUGGAUACACUAGAAGAAAGGGCAGAAAAAGAUACACAAUGCUCAGAAUUCCCAUCAAAAUUUGUAUGGAAAAGCGAAAGCAAAACUUGGGAGGAGCGGAAAAGGGGCUUUGCAAUUGGAAGAAUCUACUAUGCACACCCUGCAAGUGGCGACCGGUAUUAUAUGAGAAUGCUUCUAAACACCAAGAAAGGAUGCACAUCAUUUGAGGAUAUUAGAACAGUUAAUGGAGUUGUUCACCCAACAUACAAAUCAGCAUGCCAAGCGCUUGGAUUUCUUGAUGACGACAGUGAAUGGGUUGAAUGCAUCAAUGAAGCAUCAAGCUGGGGAUCAGGGACACAAUUACGACAACUAUUUACCACAAUUUUAUGCCAUUGUGAGGUGACCAGCCCAAAGAUGUUGUGGGAUUCAAGAUGGGAGGCACUGUCUGAAGAUAUCCAGUACAAAAGAAGAACCAUCCUAAACUUUCCUACGCUAAAGCUCACUGAUUCACAGAAAAAACAUAUGCUCUGA